RNAcentral lists this ribosomal RNA (505 nucleotides) under uncultured bacterium. RNAcentral's name for it is "partial 16S ribosomal RNA". It matches the Rfam family "Bacterial small subunit ribosomal RNA", at positions 28 to 507 of the family's 1533-position model. The record is from RNAcentral.
GACGAACGCUGGCGGCGUGCCUAAUACAUGCAAGUAGAACGCACAGUUUAUACCGUAGCUUGCUACACCAUAAACUGUGAGUUGCGAACGGGUGAGUAACGCGUAGGUAACCUGCCUGGUAGCGGGGGAUAACUAUUGGAAACGAUAGCUAAUACCGCAUAAUAUUGAUUAUUGCAUGAUAAUUGAUUGAAAGAUGCUAUUGCAUCACUACCAGAUGGACCUGCGUUGUAUUAGCUAGUAGGUGAGGUAACGGCUCACCUAGGCGACGAUACAUAGCCGACCUGAGAGGGUGAUCGGCCACACUGGGGCUGAGACACGGCCCAGACUCCUACGGGAGGCAGCAGUAGGGAAUCUUCGGCAAUGGACGAAAGUCUGACCGAGCAACGCCGCGUGAGUGAAGAAGGUUUUCGGAUCGUAAAGCUCUGUUGUAAGAGAAGAACGGGUGUGAGAGUGGAAAGUUCACACUGUGACGGUAUCUUACCAGAAAGGGACGGCUAACUACGUG